AUGCAAGCAUGUUCCUUAUUACUGGGUAGACCAUGGCAAUUUGAUAAAAAUUCUGUACACCAUGGUAGAAACAAUCACUAUACUCUUGUUCAUAAGGAUAAAAAUAUUACUUUGCUUCCUAUGACUCCUGAUUCCAUUUUGAAAGAUGAUAUUAAUAGAGCUAAUAAAGCACAACAGGAGAAGAAUAAGAGUGAAAAUCAGAUUGUGGCAAAAGAAUUUGGGCAACAAAUGAAGCCUAAUAAUAAACCAUCUAGUGUUGCUUCUGAAAUUAAAUUGAAAAGUGCAUGUUUAUUUGCCACCAAAUCUGAUAUUGAUGAGCUAGAUUUCAGCAAAUCUGUUUGCUAUGCUUUUGUGUGCAAAGAGGCAUUAUUUUCAUUCGAGGACGUGCCUUCCUCUUUGCCUCCUGCUGUCACUAACAUUUUGCAGGAGUUCGCUGACGUUUUUCCACAAGACGUGCCACCGGGAUUACCGCCUAUUCGAGGGAUUGAGCAUCAGAUUGACUUAAUUCCCGGUGCUUCACUGCCAAACCGUGCACCAUACCGUACCAAUCCAGAGGAGACGAAGGAGAUUAUGCGUCAAGUACAAGAGCUUCUCGACAAAGGUUAUAUACGCGAAUCCCUUAGUCCUUGUGCUGUUCCUAUUAUUCUAGUGCCGAAAAAGGAUGGUACAUCACGUAUGUGUGUUGAUUGUAGAGGCAUUAAUAAUAUUACUAUUCGUUAUCGCCAUCCUAUUCCUAGGCUAGAUGAUAUGCUUGAUGAAUUGAGUGGCUCUACAAUAUUCUCCAAAGUUGAUUUGCGUAGUGGCUACCAUCAAAUUCGUAUGAAAUUGGGAGAUGAAUGGAAAACAGCAUUUAAAACUAAGUUUGGAUUAUAUGAGUGGUUAGUCAUGCCUUUUGGGUUAACUAAUGCACCUAGUACUUUCAUGAGAUUAAUGAACGAAGUUUUACGUGCUUUCAUUGGACGAUUUGUGGUAGUUUACUUUGAUGACAUAUUGAUUUAUAGCAGAUCUUUGGAAGAACAUUUGGAACAUUUACGUGCUGUUUUUAUUGCUCUACGUGAUGCACGUUUGUUUGGUAACCUUGGGAAGUGCACCUUUUGCACCGACCGAGUAUCUUUUCUUGGCUAUGUUGUUACUCCACAGGGAAUUGAAGUUGAUAAAGCCAAGAUUGAAGCUAUUGAGAGUUGGCCGCACCCAAAACGGUCACACAAGUGA
Molecule: ribosomal RNA, 1212 nt
Filed under: Triticum aestivum (bread wheat)
Lineage: Eukaryota; Viridiplantae; Streptophyta; Magnoliopsida; Poales; Poaceae
Description: partial small subunit ribosomal RNA
Source: RNAcentral